CAGCAGCCGCGGUAAUACGGAGGGUGCAAGCGUUAAUCGGAAUUACUGGGCGUAAAGCGCACGCAGGCGGUCUGUCAAGUCAGAUGUGAAAUCCCCGGGCUUAACCUGGGAACUGCAUUUGAAACUGGCAGGCUAGAGUCUUGUAGAGGGGGGUAGAAUUCCAGGUGUAGCGGUGAAAUGCGUAGAGAUCUGGAGGAAUACCGGUGGCGAAGGCGGCCCCCUGGACAAAGACUGACGCUCAGGUGCGAAAGCGUGGGGAGCAAACAGGAUUAGAUACCCGAGUAGCCCUGUCUCUUAUACA
This 301-nucleotide ribosomal RNA is filed under the name uncultured bacterium. Its description in RNAcentral is "partial 16S ribosomal RNA". It matches the Rfam family "Bacterial small subunit ribosomal RNA", at positions 509 to 809 of the family's 1533-position model. The record is from RNAcentral.